RNAcentral lists this transfer RNA (58 nucleotides) under Dipodomys ordii (Ord's kangaroo rat). It matches the Rfam family "tRNA", at positions 8 to 63 of the family's 71-position model. From Rfam's summary of the family: Transfer RNA (tRNA) molecules are approximately 80 nucleotides in length. Their secondary structure includes four short double-helical elements and three loops (D, anti-codon, and T loops). Lineage: Eukaryota; Metazoa; Chordata; Mammalia; Rodentia; Heteromyidae. The record is from Rfam by way of RNAcentral.
UGGCUCAGUGGUAGAGCGCAUGCCUUGCAUGCCUGAGGCCCUGGGUUCGAAUCCUCAG